UUCAGAGUGGAAUCCGGAGAGGCAUGGAAGCCAUUCUGACAUGAAUCCUUUAAUUCCUAAGGAAAGAAGAAACAGAGAGAACAGAAAGAUGUCCUGAUGUUGCCCAGCCCGGCUCACCACUGCCCUGCUGCCGCUGUGAGGCAGGCCUGUUCUGGGACUCUGCACUAAACAAUUCGUCCACUCCAUAGCUGUACAUACAGCUGUUUAACCUGCAUGGACUUUAACAAUGACACUGAACACGUGUUUGAUACACAUUCACUUUCUCAUAAUUCAGUCCCUGUUGCUACUUUCAUCUCUAACCAUAAGAGUCUUGGAUCUUUAUCUUUGUAAAGCUGCUUUGUGACAUUUUUUUUGUAAAAAGCUCUAUAUAGAUACAACUCAAUUGGUGAAAAUGAUAUAGCUAAUAUAGAUGGUUGUUCACUCUGUGUGUAAGCUGCUAAAGUUUGUCCUUCUUCCAGAAUCCAGACCUAAAUGGGGCUUUAUGGAUGUGGCAACCCUUGCCUUCUUGUCCUAUAGGUUUCCUGCUGUAACACACCAAGUUCGCCUCAGCGAGGGAUCGUCAGUUUAUUUAUCAGGUGCACUGUAAUGCCUACAGAGCAUUGGUACUUCAGCACAGGAAUUCAAAUUAAAUAUUUUUAACGCA
Molecule: long non-coding RNA, 643 nt
Organism: Astyanax mexicanus (Mexican tetra)
Lineage: Eukaryota; Metazoa; Chordata; Actinopteri; Characiformes; Acestrorhamphidae
Exons: 2
Source: RefSeq, a predicted model, not a curated record